GAGCGCCGGAUGAUGCGAAAGUGUCCAGUCCGGUGCGAAGUGGGGGAAAAGAGCACCCAAACGGCAAUGCGGACGUAGGUGUCUCUUACCUAUCACUAA
Molecule: non-coding RNA, 99 nt
Filed under: Sporomusa malonica
Lineage: Bacteria; Bacillati; Bacillota; Negativicutes; Selenomonadales; Sporomusaceae
Source: RNAcentral